AGCGUUCCGGCAUUCACGGGCCUCCCCACAACCCAGCAGGUGUGGACACCCGGGUGCCCAAGCCCAACGUCAGGGACUCGGAGGAGUGGCACGCUCCCCGGGCAGCUCACUCCCGGGCACCCAGCCCCAGGGCCUAGCCGGGCCACACCCCUCCUCCGGAGCCUCAGCCGGGCUGCUCCUGUCCCUCGCACACACUUGAGUCCCCCUGGGGUCCUCGCACAACCCGGCAAGGCCAAGUUAGGGCUGGCCGGGCUGGAGACACAGAUCGGAGUCAGCGGUCCCCCCACCCCACCCCUCCGCAGAACAGACACGCGGGGCUGAGCCCCGGCCGCUGGGAGCGCGCGGGUUCGGCGGCCCGCCCAGCUCCGCAGGGACCCCCGUCAGCGGCGGGCGGCUCCCCAGCAUCCCAGGUCCCCGCCCCCGUCCCCUCCGGCGCGGCGAGUGUAGUUACCGAUGGUGGUGAUGACGGUGAUGGCGAAGUAGAAGGAGCCGGCGAAGCGCCACUGCACGCCGGCCUUGUGCGGCUUGAGGCGCAGCACGACGCGCUCCAGCUCCUCGUAGCCGCCCUCGCUGAGGUUGUAGCGCGCCCGCAGCUCCAGCUGCCGCAGCUCCAGCCGCUGCCGCUCGAUCAUCUCCGGCUCCGACUCCAGCGCGUCGAACACGGCGGCGCCCACCAGCAGGCCUCCCUAUUUUCUCCGUAGCCUCCUCCUUCUCUCUCUUCUCCUCUCUUCUUUGGAACCUCUGCAUCCUCACACUGGAAGCAGGGACAGAGGGUGGACUCAGCCAUGACUGAGAUCUCUUACAGACCAACAGUAAGAAAAACCUUUGCAUGGCAGAGAAAAGGGUUCCCAUGAUGGCCAGAAUGCCCGGUUAGAGCCGAGACCUGUCUUGACUUCGGCAGUCUGGAGAAGCUAGAGCACACUUCUUUGUUGGAGACACGAUUUCUGGGACUAUGCUUACCAUGGAUUGGGGCUCCACCGAUUCUCCCGGUGCCCUGCGAAGUUCAACAUCUUCAUAGAUGGAGAUGAUCUCUCAGCUGUUGUUCCAGCUGCCUCCUUUCCUGCUGCCUCGGCUCUGCUGUCUUGGACUCGAACCCUCUGGAACUGUCUACCCCGAAUAAACUCUUCCUUCUAUAGUUUG
This is a long non-coding RNA of Onychomys torridus (southern grasshopper mouse), 1140 nucleotides long. RefSeq lists it as uncharacterized. The transcript is spliced from 4 exons. The record is from RefSeq and is a predicted model, not a curated record. Lineage: Eukaryota; Metazoa; Chordata; Mammalia; Rodentia; Cricetidae.